GACGAACGCUGGCGGCGUGCCUAACACAUGCAAGUCGAACGAGGCCCAUCCUUCGGGAGAAGACCUAGUGGCGAACGGGUGAGUAACACGUGAGGAACCUGCCCCGAAGACCGGGAUAACCCUCCGAAAGGAGAGCUAAUACCGGAUACCCCCACCGAACCGCAUGGUUUGGUGAGGAAAUGGAUUCCGCUUCGGGAGGG
This 200-nucleotide ribosomal RNA is filed under the name uncultured bacterium. RNAcentral's name for it is "partial 16S ribosomal RNA". It matches the Rfam family "Bacterial small subunit ribosomal RNA", at positions 28 to 228 of the family's 1533-position model. The record is from RNAcentral.